UAAAAUAGAUUGAGAGUUAAAAUAAAUGUUCAUGUUAAAAUGUUUGAUUUCUGUCAAUCUAUUGACGACAAGUUUUAUUUGGGUCAGGGGAGUGCAUUAUUAAAACGCUGUACACUGUGUACUCCGUACACUAAUGAUGCGCCACUAAUCUCCUUCCACUCAAAUUUAAAAAUGGAGUAUCUUGUCAACGGAUUAAGGGAAAUCAUACCUCAAAAGAUACGAAUUUGUCCAUCAAAGGUACAUUGUUUAAAAAGUUUUUUGAA
Non-coding RNA from Cinara cedri, 263 nucleotides. The record is from the annotation of a GenBank genome assembly. NCBI's taxonomy places the organism in Eukaryota, Metazoa, Arthropoda, Insecta, Hemiptera, Aphididae.